This 68-nucleotide transfer RNA is filed under the name Pyrrhopeplus posthumus. RNAcentral describes it as "tRNA-Phe". Lineage: Eukaryota; Metazoa; Arthropoda; Insecta; Hemiptera; Pyrrhocoridae. The record is from RNAcentral.
AUCUAAAUAGCUUAAAAUUUAAAAGUUUAAUAUUGAAGAUAUUAAGAUAAGUGAAGACUUUUUAGGUA